Long non-coding RNA from Oncorhynchus kisutch (coho salmon), 2211 nucleotides. The record is from Ensembl. Lineage: Eukaryota; Metazoa; Chordata; Actinopteri; Salmoniformes; Salmonidae.
UUGUGUUUAGACCAAGGUGUAGGAUUUAGGGGUCAAUUUGGAAAUAGAAAUUGAAUGUAGUUCAGUGGCUGACAGGUGUCCUUAAUUAGCCAACGACAUUAGAAGGGUCUGGGAUUCCUUUAAAAGGAGCAACCAAACAUCUGGCAAAUAUAGUAAAAGGGAUAUUCUGGUAGGACAUAUGCCUACCAUUAGUUCUGAAUACUGGUGAGGUUUUGAGGGCAAAAUGGCCGUGAUGAUUGGAAUCGCUUUCAGCAUUUCUUGGCUUUGUUGCCUGCUAAUUGGAGGGAUAACGUGUUCUACAUCAGAAGGUGAGUUCAUUUCAAAUAACAGCUACGCAGUUGCUUAACUUUCAAAUGCUGGCAUUUUACAGAUUAUAUUUUUAACCUAGGUGAUUGGUCUCCUGCACUGGAUUCUAAUGCAGCAUGGCUCUAUGCAGGAUCACUUCGGUCUCUAGGAUAUGGCAAUUAUAAAUCUCAAAUGCAAGCGCAACAGAAACAUCCGGCCGCCAUCCUGCGGAAGGAACUGGCCCCCAUGUCCCAGCAACCUCAGCAAGUGUGGUAUCCAGUUCAAUUGCCCCUGCAUCAGAAGCAACUGGCCGCAGAAACUCAGCAGCAGAGGCAACCGACAACUGUGCCCCAGCAAGUGUGGCAUCAAGCUCACAUGCUGACACAACCACCGACCGCCGUGCCCCAGCAAGUGUGGCAUCAAGCUCACAUGCUGACGCAUAAGCAACCGACCGCCGUGCCCCAGCAAGUGUGGCAUCAAGCUCACAUGCUGACGCAUAAGCAACCGACCGCCGUGCCCCAGCAAGUGUGGCAUCCUGCUCAAAAGCCCCUGCAGCAGAAGCAACUGGCCGCAGAAGCUCAGCAGCAGAGGCAACCGACCGCCGUGCCCCAGCAAGUGUGGCAUCAAGCUCACAUGCUGACGCAUAAGCAACCGACCACUGUGCCCCAGCAAGUGUGGCAUCCUCCUCAAAUGCUCCUGCAGCAGAAGCAACCGACCGCCGUGCCCCAGCAAGUGUGGCAUCCUCCUCAAAUGCCCCUGCAGCAGAAGCAACCGACCGCCGUGCCCCAGCAAGUAUGGCAUCCUUCUCAAAUGCCCCUGCAAACAACCGCUGUGCCCCAGCAAGUGUGGCAUCCUCCUCAAAUGCCCCUGCAGCAUAAUCAACCGACCGCUGUGCCCCAGCAAGUGUGGCAUCCUGCUCAAAAGCCCCUGCAGCAGAAGCAACCGACCGCCGUGCCCCAGCAAGUGUGGCAUCAAGCUCACAUGCUGACGCAUAAGCAACCGACCGCUGUGCCCCAGCAAGUGUGGCAUCCUCCUCAAAUGCCCCUGCAGCAGAAGCAACCGACCACCGUGCCCCAGCAAGUGUGGCUUCCUCCUCAAUUGCCCCUGCAGCAGAAGCAACCGACCGCUGUGCCCCAGCAAGUAUGGCAUCCUUCUCAAAUGCCACUGCAAACAACCGCUGUGCCCCAGGAAGUGUGGCAUCCUCCUCAAAUGCCCCUGCAGCAUAUUCAACCGAUCGGCGUGCCCCAGCAAGUGUGGCUUCCUCCUCAAAUGCCCUUGCAGCAGAAGCAACCGAGCGCCGUGCCCCAGCAAGUGUGGCAUCCUCCUCAAAUGCCCCUGCAGCAGAAGCAACCGACCGCCGUGCCCCAGCAAGUGUGGCUUCCUCCUCAAAUGCCCUUGCAGCAGAAGCAACCGAGCGCCGUGCCCCAGCAAGUGUGGCUUCCUCAAUUGCCCCUGCAGCAGAAGCAGCCGACCGCCGUGCCCCAGCAAGUGUGGCUUCCUCAAUUGCCCCUGCAGCAGAAGCAACCGACCGCCGUGCCCCAGCAAGUGUGGCAUCCAGCUCAAAUGCAGCAGAAGCAACAGACCAACGUGCCCCAGCAAGUGUGGCAUCCAGCUCAAAUGCAGCAGAAGCAACCGACUGCCCUGUGCCAGCAAGUGUGGCAUCCUCCUCAAAUGGCCCUGCAGCAGAAGCAACUGACCACCGUGCCCCAGCAAGUGUGGCAUCCAGCUCAAAUGCAGCAGAAGCAACCGACUGCCGUGCCCCAGCAAGUGUGGCAUCCUCGUCAAAUGCCCCUGAGGCAGAAGCAAACGACCGACGUGCCCCAGCAAGUGAGGCAUCCUGCUCAGUUUCCCCAGCAGAAGCAACUGGCCCCUAUGCCUCUACUGCAGAAGGAACCAACCACCAUAACCCAGCAACCUCAGCAGUAG